This 1299-nucleotide ribosomal RNA is filed under the name Trichobilharzia querquedulae. RNAcentral's name for it is "eukaryotic LSU rRNA". It matches the Rfam family "Eukaryotic large subunit ribosomal RNA", at positions 72 to 982 of the family's 3401-position model. Lineage: Eukaryota; Metazoa; Platyhelminthes; Trematoda; Strigeidida; Schistosomatidae. The record is from RNAcentral.
GGAUUCCCCUAGUAACUGCGAGUGAACAGGGAUUAGCCCAGCACCGAAGCCUGUGGUUAUUUGACUGCAAGGCAAUGUGGUGUUUAGGUUUGUUCUUGGCAUUACUGCUCUGCCCCAAGUCCAGCAAUGAGUACGGCAUACCGUUCUGGCCCAUAGAGGGUGAAAGGCCCGUGGGGGUAGAGACCAAGCAUGACAGUUUUGUCCAGAGCUUACCUUGGAGUCGGGUUGUUUGAGAAUGCAGCCCAAAGUGGGUGGUAAACUCCAUCCAAGGCUAAAUACCUGCACGAGUCCGAUAGUAAACAAGUACCGUGAGGGAAAGUUGAAAAGUACUUUGAAGAGAGAGUAAACAGUGCGUGAAACCGCUCAGAGGUAAACGGGUGGAGUUGAACUGCGAUCCUUGGGAAUUCAGCUGAUGAGCAUGAUUUGUGCUUGGGCAUAUUGACCGCCUUUCAGUGUCUGCUUAGCUGCGGGUGCCUGCCUCUGGUGGGUAUGUGUGGUGCGCUUAUCAUGUGCCGCACGCAUUGGAGGGUGUAUGAGUCUGCUUGUCGGUGCACUUUCUCAGGGUGUUCACCACGACCGGCACUGCUGUCUGUCUGCUUUGGUCAAACUGAUCAGGUCUGAUUAACGUUGGGCUUGGUUGGGUUGGCAGGUGACUCACUGGUCCAUUCUGUGGGCUAUGAGUGUUACUAGCCGGCCUUAGUGGAUCUGUACGGUGUGUCGGAGACGGCGGCUUUGCAUAUGCGCUCUGUCCUUCAGGCGUGGUUGAGUCUGGUCGACUUGUUGCUAGUUUCGGCUGGUCAGUUGAUGGCUUGAUCAUGUUCAGUUGGCAGUGGUGUGUGUGUCUUAGUUUGGGCCAAUAGUCUGUGGUGUUGUGGUAGACUAUCCACCUGACCCGUCUUGAAACACGGACCAAGGAGUUUAACAUGUGCGCGAGUCAUUGGGCUUUACGAAACCCAAAGGCGCAGUGAAGGUAAAGGCUUGGCUUGUCCAGGCUGAGGUGAGAUCCUGUUGUUUUGCUCAUUCAUUCCAAGCUGCGAGCAGCAGGCGCAUCACCGGCCCGUCCCAUGACGUAGACAUGUGGCCUUGUGCUAUGUGCACCGUCGGGGCGGAGCAAGAGCGUACAUGUUGAGACCCGAAAGAUGGUGAACUAUGCUUGCGAAGGUUGAAGCCAGAGGAAACUCUGGUGGAGGACCGUAGCGAUUCUGACGUGCAAAUCGAUCGUAUAACGUGAGUAUAGGGGCGAAAGACUAAUCGAACCAUCUAGUAGCUGGUUCCCUCCGAAGUUUCCCUCAGGAUAGC